CCUACGGGUGACAGCAGUGAGGAAUAUUGGUCAAUGGACGGAAGUCUGAACCAGCCAUGCCGCGUGCAGGAUGACGGCUCUAUGAGUUGUAAACUGCUUUUGUACGACGGUAAUAUCAGAUACGUGUAUCUGCUUGACAGUAUAGUACGAAUACGGAUAGGCUAACUCCGUGCCAGCAGCCGCGGUAAUACGGAGGAUCCAAGCGUUAUCCGGAGUUAUUGGGUUUAAAGGGUGCGUAGGCGGAUUUAUAAUUUAGAGGUGAAAAUUCGGAGCUUAACUCCGGAAGUGCGGCUAAUACUGUAGGACUAGAGAGUAGAUGCGGUAGGCGGAAUGUAUGGUGUAGCGGUGAAAUGCGUAGAGAUCAUACAGAACACCGAUUGCGAAGGCAGCUUACCGGCCUGUAACUGACGCUGAUGCACGAAAGCGUGGGGAGCGAACAGGAUUAGAUACCCGAGUAGUC
This 460-nucleotide ribosomal RNA is filed under the name uncultured bacterium. Its description in RNAcentral is "partial 16S ribosomal RNA". It matches the Rfam family "Bacterial small subunit ribosomal RNA", at positions 338 to 795 of the family's 1533-position model. The record is from RNAcentral.